AUUGAACGCUGGCGGCAGGCCUAACACAUGCAAGUCGAGCGGAUGAAGGGAGCUUGCUCCUGGAUUCAGCGGCGGACGGGUGAGUAAUGCCUAGGAAUCUGCCUGGUAGUGGGGGAUAACGUCCGGAAACGGGCGCUAAUACCGCAUACGUCCUGAGGGAGAAAGUGGGGGAUCUUCGGACCUCACGCUAUCAGAUGAGCCUAGGUCGGAUUAGCUAGUUGGUGGGGUAAAGGCCUACCAAGGCGACGAUCCGUAACUGGUCUGAGAGGAUGAUCAGUCACACUGGAACUGAGACACGUUCCAGACUCCUACGGGAGGCAGCGGUGGGGAAUAUUGGACAAUGGGCGAAGGCCUGAUCCAGCCUUGCCGCGUGGGUGAAAAAGUUCUUCGAAUUGUAAAGCACUUUAAGUUGGGAGAAAGGGCAGUAAGUUAAAACCUUGCUGUUUUGACUUACCAACAGAAUAAGCACCGGCUAACUUCGUG
RNAcentral lists this ribosomal RNA (483 nucleotides) under uncultured bacterium. RNAcentral describes it as "partial 16S ribosomal RNA". It matches the Rfam family "Bacterial small subunit ribosomal RNA", at positions 30 to 507 of the family's 1533-position model. The record is from RNAcentral.